This 492-nucleotide ribosomal RNA is filed under the name uncultured bacterium. RNAcentral describes it as "partial 16S ribosomal RNA". It matches the Rfam family "Bacterial small subunit ribosomal RNA", at positions 29 to 507 of the family's 1533-position model. The record is from RNAcentral.
AGUGAACGCUGGCGGUAGGCCUAACACAUGCAAGUCGAACGGCGGCACAGUAAGAGCUUGCUCUUACGGGUGGCGGGUGGCGGACGGGUGAGGAAUACAUCGGAAUCUACUUUUUCGUGGGGGAUAACGUAGGGAAACUUACGCUAAUACCGCAUACGACCUACGGGUGAAAGCAGGGGAUCUUCGGACCUUGCGCGAUUGAAUGAGCCGAUGUCGGAUUAGCUAGUUGGCGGGGUAAAGGCCCACCAAGGCGACGAUCCGUAGCUGGUCUGAGAGGAUGAUCAGCCACACUGGAACUGAGACACGGUCCAGACUCCGACGGGAGGCAGCAGUGGGGAAUAUUGGACAAUGGGCGCAAGCCUGAUCCAGCCAUACCGCGUGGGUGAAGAAGGCCUUCGGGUUGUAAAGCCCUUUUGUUGGGAAAGAAAAGCAGCAGGUUAAUACCCCGCUGUUCUGACGGUACCCAAAGAAUAAGCACCGGCUAACUUCGUG